UUCUUUACUUUAUUAGAUAAAUAAAUAUAUAAAUAAAUAUAUUAAUAUAAAUACUAUCUUUAUGGUAAUAUAUUUAUACUUAAAUCUUAUUAAUUAUAUAAUUAAAUAAAAUUAAUUUGACAUAUUAUUUAUUUUAUUUUUUUUAUCAUUUAUAUAUUAAUACUUAAUUAUUUUAUUUUUUAUUAAGUAUUAUAUAUUAAAUUAUUUUUUCGUAUAUUAUAUAUUUUUUUUAAAUUUGUAUUGAAAUUUAUAGUGUUAUUAGUUAAAAUUAUAAGAAUAUUGCUAGUAUUAUAUUUUAUUCAUUACAUAUAUUAUGGAUAAAUUUAUGAAAUAAACUGUUGUAUAAAAUAAAUUAUUAUAUGAAAUAAAUAAAUAUAAGAUAUAAAUUAAAUUGUUUUAUAAAAUAAUUUAUAUAAAAUAUACUGAUAUAAAUGAAUUAUCUUAAUCUUUUAAAUAAAUGAAUUAUUUUAAUCUUUUAAAUAUAUUUAAAUAUUAUUUUAGACUUUUUAUCCAAAUACAACAAAAUUUAUAGUUGUUCUAGCUUAUACUGUGAUAUUUCCUACUCUUGAGAACAAUAAAAGUACCCCAAGAAUUUAGUUCUCAAAUAAAACGCAGUCUCA
This 620-nucleotide long non-coding RNA is filed under the name Ananas comosus (pineapple). RNAcentral's name for it is "long non-coding RNA (ACOM_LNC018020)". The record is from RNAcentral. Lineage: Eukaryota; Viridiplantae; Streptophyta; Magnoliopsida; Poales; Bromeliaceae.